This 434-nucleotide ribosomal RNA is filed under the name uncultured bacterium. Its description in RNAcentral is "partial 16S ribosomal RNA". It matches the Rfam family "Bacterial small subunit ribosomal RNA", at positions 29 to 507 of the family's 1533-position model. The record is from RNAcentral.
AGCGAACGCUGGCGGCAGGCCUAACACAUGCAAGUCGAACGAACCUUUCGGGGUUAGUGGCGGACGGGUGAGUAACACGUGGGAACGUGCCUUUAGGUUCGGAAUAACUCAGGGAAACUUGUGCUAAUACCGAAUGUGCCCUACGGGGGAAAGAUUAAUCGCCUUUAGAGCGGCCCGCGUCUGAUUAGCUAGUUGGUUGAGGUAAUGGCCCACCAAGGCGACGAUCAGUAGCUGGUCUGAGAGGAUGAUCAGCCACAUUGGGACUGAGACACGGCCCAAACUCCUACGGGAGGCAGCAGUGGGGAAUCUUGCGCAAUGGGCGAAAGCCUGACGCAGCCAUGCCGGGUGAAUGAUGAAGGUCUUAGGAUUGUAAUAUUCUUUCACCGGGGACGAUAAUGACGGUACCCGGAGAAGAAGCCCCGGCUAACUUCGUG